Molecule: ribosomal RNA, 450 nt
Filed under: uncultured bacterium
Lineage: Bacteria
Description: partial 16S ribosomal RNA
Rfam family: Bacterial small subunit ribosomal RNA
Source: RNAcentral
GUGGGGAAUAUUGGACAAUGGGCGAAAGCCUGAUCCAGCCAUGCCGCGUGUGUGAAGAAGGUCUUCGGAUUGUAAAGCACUUUAAGUUGGGAGGAAGGGCAGUAAGUUAAUACCUUGCUGUUUUGACGUUACCGAGAGAAUAAGCACCGGCUAACUUCGUGCCAGCAGCCGCGGUAAUACGAAGGGUGCAAGCGUUAAUCGGAAUUACUGGGCGUAAAGCGCGCGUAGGUGGUUUUGUAAGUUUGAGGUGAAAUCCACUGGCUCAACCUGGGAACUGCCUCCAAAACUGCAUGACUAGAGUACGGUAGAGGGUGGUGGAAUUUCCUGUGUAGCGGUGAAAUGCGUAGAUAUAGGAAGGAACACCAGUGGCGAAGGCGACUACCUGGACUGAUACUGACACUGAGGUGCGAAAGCGUGGGGAGCAAACAGGAUUAGAUACCCGUGUAGUCC